CAGCCGCCACGGUAAUACGUAGGUCCCGAGCGUUGUCCGGAUGUAUUGGGCGUAAAGCGAGCGCAGGCGGUUAGAUAAGUCUGAAGUUAAAGGCUGUGGCUUAACCAUAGUACGCUUUGGAAACUGUUUAACUUGAGUGCAAGAGGGGAGAGUGGAAUUCCAUGUGUAGCGGUGAAAUGCGUAGAUAUAUGAAGGAACACCGGUGGCGAAAGCGGCUCUCUGGCUUGUAACUGACGCUGAGGCUCGAAAGCGUGGGGAGCAAACAGGAUUAGAUACCCGAGUAGUCCCUGUCUCUUAUACA
This 301-nucleotide ribosomal RNA is filed under the name uncultured bacterium. RNAcentral describes it as "partial 16S ribosomal RNA". It matches the Rfam family "Bacterial small subunit ribosomal RNA", at positions 509 to 808 of the family's 1533-position model. The record is from RNAcentral.